Molecule: ribosomal RNA, 617 nt
Filed under: uncultured Acidobacteriota bacterium
Lineage: Bacteria; Pseudomonadati; Acidobacteriota
Description: SSU rRNA
Rfam family: Bacterial small subunit ribosomal RNA
Source: RNAcentral
UUGGUAGCCGGCCUGAGAGGGCACACGGCCACACUGGCACUGAAACACGGGCCAGACUCCUACGGGAGGCAGCAGUGGGGAAUCUUGCACAAUGGGGGAAACCCUGAUGCAGCGACGCCGCGUGAGCGAUGAAGCCCUUCGGGGUGUAAAGCUCUUUCGUCAGGGAAGAUAGUGACGGUACCUGGAGAAGCAGCUGCGGCUAACUACGUGCCAGCAGCCGCGGUAAUACGUAGGCAGCAAGCGUUGUUCGGAGUUACUGGGCGUAAAGGGUGUGUAGGCGGUUCCUUAAGUUUGCUGUGAAAUCUCCCGGCUUAACCGGGAGGGUGCGGUGAAUACUGAGGGACUAGAGUACGGGAGAGGAAAGUGGAAUUCCUGGUGUAGCGGUGAAAUGCGUAGAUAUCAGGAGGAACACCGGUGGUGUAGACGGCUUUCUGGACCGUAACUGACGCUGAGACACGAAAGCGUGGGUAGCAAACAGGAUUAGAUACCCUGGUAGUCCACGCCCUAAACGAUGCAUAUUUGGUGUGGGCAGUUCAUUCUGUCCGUGCCGGAGCUAACGCGUUAAAUAUGCCGCCUGGGGAGUACAGUCGCAAGGCUGAAACUCAAAGGAAUUGACG